GUUAGGAAUAUUGGACAAUGGGCGCAAGCCUGAUCCAGCCAUGCCGCGUGAACGAUGAAGGCCUUCGGGUUGUAAAGUUCUUUAGCCGAUGAUUAUAAUGACUGUAGUCGGAAAAUAAGCCCCGGCUAACUUCGUGCCAGCAGCCGCGGUAAUACGAAGGGGGCGAGCGUUAUUCGGAAUCACUGGGCGUAAAGCGUGCGUAGGCGGUCUCGUAAGUUAGGAGUGAAAGCCCAGGGCUCAACCUUGGAAUUGCUCUUAAAACUGCAAGGCUAGAAUCUCGGAGAGGAUAGCGGAAUUUCCAGUGUAGCAGUGAAAUGCGUAGAUAUUGGAAGGAACACCAGUGGCGUAAGCGGCUAUCUGGACGAGUAUUGACGCUGAGGCACGAAAGCGUGGGGAUCAAACAGGAUUAGAAACCCUAGUAGUCA
RNAcentral lists this ribosomal RNA (425 nucleotides) under uncultured bacterium. RNAcentral's name for it is "partial 16S ribosomal RNA". It matches the Rfam family "Bacterial small subunit ribosomal RNA", at positions 354 to 796 of the family's 1533-position model. The record is from RNAcentral.